AUUGAACGCUGGCGGCAGGCCUAACACAUGCAAGUCGAACGAGUGGCGGACGGGUGAGUAAUGUGUGGGAAACUGCCAGAUGGAGGGGGAAAACUACUGGACACGGUAGCUAAUACCGCAUAAUAUAAGAUGUGCCCAGAUGGGAUUAGCUUGUUGGUGGGGUAACGGCUCACAAAGGCGACGAUCCCUAGCUGGUCUGAGAGGAUGACCAGCCACACUGGAACUGAGACACGGUCCAGACUCCUACGGGAGGCAGCAGUGGGGAAUAUUGCACAAUGGGCGCAAGCCUGAUGCAGCCAUGCCGCGUGUAUGAAGAAGGCCUUCGGGUUGUAAAGUACUUUCAGCGGGGAGGCGUUACCCGCAGAAGAAGCACCGGCUAACUCCGUGCCAGCCGCCGCGGUAAUAC
This 406-nucleotide ribosomal RNA is filed under the name uncultured bacterium. RNAcentral's name for it is "partial 16S ribosomal RNA". It matches the Rfam family "Bacterial small subunit ribosomal RNA", at positions 30 to 526 of the family's 1533-position model. The record is from RNAcentral.